RNAcentral lists this ribosomal RNA (193 nucleotides) under uncultured Burkholderiales bacterium. Its description in RNAcentral is "partial 16S ribosomal RNA". It matches the Rfam family "Bacterial small subunit ribosomal RNA", at positions 139 to 334 of the family's 1533-position model. The record is from RNAcentral. Lineage: Bacteria; Pseudomonadati; Pseudomonadota; Betaproteobacteria; Burkholderiales.
GGGAGUAACUACUCGAAAGAGUAGCUAAUACCGCAUACGAUCUGAGGAUGAAAGCGGGGGACCUUCGGGCCUCGCGCGAUUGGAGCGGCCGAUGGCAGAUUAGGUAGUUGGUGGGAUAAAAGCUUACCAAGCCGACGAUCUGUAGCUGGUCUGAGAGGACGACCAGCCACACUGGGACUGAGACACGGUCCAG